This 285-nucleotide long non-coding RNA is filed under the name Manacus vitellinus (golden-collared manakin). RNAcentral's name for it is "lncRNA (ENSMVIG00005007875.1)". The record is from RNAcentral. Lineage: Eukaryota; Metazoa; Chordata; Aves; Passeriformes; Pipridae.
GACUCCUCGUUAAUCUCUAAGGUUGGAAAAAGAAGUUUCUGAAGUUUACUAAAAAACCCUCUGAAUUAAUUCUGCCUUUGUGUGGUCAGCCUGUGAGUCUGGAGCACACCUGAACCAAGGAGCAAAUUAAGGUUAAGUGCAGUUUGCCUGAGAAACCAUAACUACCAUACCUGGGUGCAACAAAGUGUGGAAGCUCUUGAAGCCCCAACUCAUUAUUGAGAGAACACAAUUGUGAAGGAGAUCUGAAGCUGCACUGCAAGGUGUGAGGUUUCUGGAAGAAAAAGA